RNAcentral lists this long non-coding RNA (777 nucleotides) under Equus caballus (horse). Its description in RNAcentral is "lncRNA (ENSECAG00000042156.2)". Lineage: Eukaryota; Metazoa; Chordata; Mammalia; Perissodactyla; Equidae. The record is from RNAcentral.
CUUUUUGCCAUUAUCUGGGCUGCUUUCCUCAGCUUUAAUGGAGAAGAAAAGCACAGAAUCCCAGGAGAGUGCAGUCUGGGAUUUAGGAGGUCCACCCACCCUGCCAUUCAGUUAUCUAUUCAGCAGAUCUCUAUGGAGCCAGGCACCGUGCCAGGCCCUGGAGACUCAGGGGUGAGCAGACCACACUCCCUCUUCCCAGAGCUUGUAGUGUAGAAGGGAAGCUGGUGUUGACUUACCACAACAGAUGUGAAACUGUAGCUCUGUCAUGGGCUGUGCGUGAGGUCUGCUCUAGCCUGGCAGUCAGUGAAGGCUUCCCUGUGGACAAGAUACUCAGCAGAGACCAGAAGGAGGAAUAAUGUUACUGGAGGAAAGAAGGGUGGAAGAAUGCUCCAGAGAACAGCAUGUGCAAAGGCCCUGCAGCCAGAGAGGACACAGAUACAUGAAAAACGUAGAGAAGACUAUUGUGGCUGAGGUGAAGAAUGAAGAUGCAUACAGCGUGUAAAAGGCCUGGAGAGGCAAACCAUGCAAGAUGUGGGGCCAUGAAUCAGCAUAGUCCACUCAUGGACUAUGUGAGGGAAGCCAGCAGCUCCACGACAUCUGAGGGUUCUGUCCUCACGUGCCUGGUUGAAGCUGGAUCCUUACAAUAUCCAUGUCCUUCAGGGGAAGAGGACUGUCCAAGGCAAAUGGCCUUGUCAUGAAUAAGAUGAGAAGAACAAGUCCCUGAGAGGUGCUGUGAUAGAGAACAUGGUGUUGAGGCUUGUGACUAUGAGCGGACCC